Molecule: long non-coding RNA, 1279 nt
Organism: Phacochoerus africanus (Common warthog)
Lineage: Eukaryota; Metazoa; Chordata; Mammalia; Artiodactyla; Suidae
Exons: 5
Source: RefSeq, a predicted model, not a curated record
AUAUCUGAUGAGCCGUGCUUUGAUGAGAAUUGCAUAUUGUUCUGUGUGCCCCAAAUGGAAUAACUGAGACCAAAUGGUUGGAAACUGUAGAGAAAAAGAUCUCAACUCAAGAAAAACUCAAGUAAGAGGAAGAACCUUCCAGCCAGUAUAAAGAUAGAAGGGGCUACUUGGGAGAUGAUUGAGGCCCAGAAGCAGAAGUUACCCAUGGCUGUUUGGAACAGUAUUGUGGAGAAGCCUGUCUGUGCAACAACCCGUGGCAAAAGGAUUGUCAAAGAAGAAAGACUGUGUAAUGAAUUAUGGCACUCAGGACGACCGUGAAGGACAGUUGGGAAAACAAAGGUCUUUCGUCCGAUAGGAUGUUCUGUGGAACAAGGUCACAGAAAGCAAGCAACCACGUGAACUCAGUUCUGAAGAAGGACAAGGCCAGUGAGGGGAAAUGGGUGACAAGGCCCCUUCACUGCGGCAGAGCCCAGGAGGAGGAUGGAGCUGCCAUGAAAGCAGCUUAAAAGAGGCUAAAAGCCUGAGAAGAGAUUCACAGUCCUUGAAUAAUAGCCAGAAAGGGAGAUUAAUAAGAAAAGAAGGUAUGUGAGUUUCCAAGCACUGGGGGAUUUUCCUGGGUUUUAGUAUGAGAAGAAUUUCAUGCUCUGUAUGUGCCUUCAGCUUCCUUGUUCCAUUGGUGUCACCCACCGCUUAGCUCAGGAGCCCCUAUUUGCCUUCCAUUUUCUUUCACGGGGAAGGAACCAAAAUCAAGGCCAGUCACAAGGUCACCAGGACUCGGUCUCCCAGCACCCCCUGGAGGGUUAGGGCAGGGGCUCUGGGCCAGGUCCUCCCCUCAGGCUGCCGGUGGAGAAUAAAGAGGAGGGCUUCUUUGCUCUAUCCAGCUCCCCAGGGAGAAGGGGAGAAGUUCUGGUGCCUCAGAGAAACCCGGACUUGGCCUGAAGACACACUCCUGCCAAGUGAUGAUUUGUCAGAUUUCCAUAUUUCAAAGGACAGCCAGCAAUGAACAGGCAGACAAGUGUGCAGCAAGUUAAUAAAAUUGCCCCUAGCUUCUUGAUAACCAUCAGCUUUCUGCAUUAGUUUUCUUUCUCCAAUGGAAAAUCUUCCCUAUGAUCUUCCUUCCUAAAGUUGUGUCAUUUGGCCAAUCCUUAUAAACUCAUUUCCCCCAUAGGCAAUGGGAUAAUAUUCAUGAAAAGACACUUCCUUACACUCAUCUUCCUUCAUAUGAGGGAUGGUUCAAAAUGAGCACGAUGGCUUUUGAAACGUAUUUUCUGGAGUUCCC